GCCUGUAGGGAUAGCUCAGUUGGUAGAGCAUGACUCUUAAUCUCAGGGCUGUGGGUUCAAGACCCACAUUGGGCA
This 75-nucleotide transfer RNA is filed under the name Podarcis lilfordi (Lilford's wall lizard). RNAcentral describes it as "tRNA.Lys". The stretch from base 12 to 67 matches the Rfam family "tRNA", at positions 8 to 63 of the family's 71-position model. From Rfam's summary of the family: Transfer RNA (tRNA) molecules are approximately 80 nucleotides in length. Their secondary structure includes four short double-helical elements and three loops (D, anti-codon, and T loops). Lineage: Eukaryota; Metazoa; Chordata; Lepidosauria; Squamata; Lacertidae. The record is from RNAcentral.